GGGCCCGUCGUCUAGCCAGGAUAGGACGCUGGCCUGCGGAGCCGGAGGUCGCGGGUUCAAGUCCCGCCGGGCCCA
RNAcentral lists this transfer RNA (75 nucleotides) under Candidatus Bathyarchaeota archaeon. RNAcentral describes it as "tRNA-Arg". It matches the Rfam family "tRNA". Rfam says of the family: Transfer RNA (tRNA) molecules are approximately 80 nucleotides in length. RNAcentral also lists the same sequence under 1 other name. Lineage: Archaea; Thermoproteati; Candidatus Bathyarchaeota. The record is from RNAcentral.